ACGGAGGGUGCGAGCGUUAAUCGGAAUCACUGGGCGUAAAGCGCACGUAGGCGGUGUCGUAAGUCGGAUGUGAAAGCCCUCGGCUCAACCGGGGAACUGCAUUUGAUACUGCGAUGCUUGAGUGCCGGAGAGGGGAGCGGAAUUCCAGGUGUAGGGGUGAAAUUCGUAGAUAUUCGGAAGAACACCAGUGGCGAAGGCGGCCAACUGGACGGGUAUUGACGCUGAGGUGCGAAAGCGUGGGGAGCAAACAG
Molecule: ribosomal RNA, 251 nt
Filed under: uncultured prokaryote
Description: partial 16S rRNA
Rfam family: Bacterial small subunit ribosomal RNA
Source: RNAcentral